This 492-nucleotide ribosomal RNA is filed under the name uncultured bacterium. RNAcentral describes it as "partial 16S ribosomal RNA". It matches the Rfam family "Bacterial small subunit ribosomal RNA", at positions 29 to 507 of the family's 1533-position model. The record is from RNAcentral.
AGUGAACGCUGGCGGUAGGCCUAACACAUGCAAGUCGAACGACAGCACAGUAAGCGCUUGCUCUUACGGGUGGCGAGUGGCGGACGGGUGAGGAAUACAUAGGAAUCUACUUUUUCGUGGGGGACAACGUAGGGACACUUACGCUAAUACCGCAUAUGACCUACGGGUGGAAGCAGGGGAUCUUCGGACCUUGCGCGUUUGAAUGAGCUGAUGUCGGAUUAGCUAGUUGGCGAGGUAAAGGCCCACCAAGGCAACGAUCCGUAGCUGAUCUGAGAGGAUGAUCAGCCACACUGGAACUGAGACACGGUCCAGACUCCUACGGGAGGCAGCAGUAGGGAAUAUUGGGCAAUGGGCGAAAGCCUGAUCGAGCCAUACCGCGUGAGUGAAGAAGGUCUUCGGGUUGUAAAGCCCUUUUGUUGGGAAAGAAAAGCAGCGGAUUAAUACCCCGCUGUUUUGACGGUACCCAAAGAAUAAGCACCGGCUAACUUCGUG